GCGGAUGUAGUUUAGUGGUAAAACUACAGCCUUCCAAGCUGUUGUCGCGAGUUCGAUUCUCGUCAUCCGCU
Molecule: transfer RNA, 71 nt
Filed under: Carnobacteriaceae bacterium zg-C25
Lineage: Bacteria; Bacillati; Bacillota; Bacilli; Lactobacillales; Carnobacteriaceae
Also listed under: 2 other names
Rfam family: tRNA
About the family: Transfer RNA (tRNA) molecules are approximately 80 nucleotides in length.
Source: Rfam by way of RNAcentral